This 489-nucleotide ribosomal RNA is filed under the name uncultured bacterium. RNAcentral's name for it is "bacterial SSU rRNA". It matches the Rfam family "Bacterial small subunit ribosomal RNA", at positions 903 to 1397 of the family's 1533-position model. The record is from RNAcentral.
AAAGGAAUAGACGGGACCCCGCACAAGCGGUGGAGCAUGUGGUUUAAUUCGACGCAACGCGAAGAACCUUACCAGGUCUUGACAUCCUGCGCAAGGCCCUAGAGAUAGGGAGAUAGUUAUGGCAGAGACAGGUGGUGCAUGGUUGUCGUCAGCUCGUGUCGUGAGAUGUUUGGUUAAGUCCAGCAACGAGCGCAACCCUUGUCCUUAGUUGCCAUCAUUCAGUUGGGGACUCUAAGGAGACUGCCGAUGCAAAUCGGAGGAAGGUGGGGAUGACGUCAAAUCAUCAUGCCCUUUAUGACCUGGGCUACACACGUGCUACAAUGGCCGGUACAAAGAGAAGCAAACCCGCGAGGGGAAGCAAACCUCAAAAAGCCGGUCCCAGUUCGGAUUGAAGUCUGCAACUCGACUUCAUGAAGUCGGAAUCGCUAGUAAUCGCGAAUCAGCAACGUCGCGGUGAAUACGUUCCCGGGGUUUGUACACACCGCCCGU